UCGGAACGUGCCCUGGAGUGGGGAUAACGCAGCGAAAGUUGCGCUAAUACCGCAUACGAUCUAAGGAUGAAAGCGGGGGAUCGCAAGACCUCGUGCUCCUGGAGCGGCCGAUAUCUGAUUAGCUAGUUGGUGGGGUAAAGGCCUACCAAGGCAUCGAUCAGUAGCUGGUCUGAGAGGACGACCAGCCACACUGGAACUGAGACACGGUCCAG
This 212-nucleotide ribosomal RNA is filed under the name uncultured bacterium. Its description in RNAcentral is "partial 16S ribosomal RNA". It matches the Rfam family "Bacterial small subunit ribosomal RNA", at positions 118 to 334 of the family's 1533-position model. The record is from RNAcentral.